UGAUGCAGCGACGCCGCGUGAGGGAUGACGGCCUUCGGGUUGUAAACCUCUUUCAGCAGGGAAGAAGCGAAAGUGACGGUACCUGCAGAAGAAGCGCCGGCUAACUACGUGCCAGCAGCCGCGGUAAUACGUAGGGCGCAAGCGUUGUCCGGAAUUAUUGGGCGUAAAGAGCUCGUAGGCGGUCUGUCACGUCGGAUGUGAAAGCCCGGGGCUUAACCCCGGGUCUGCAUUCGAUACGGGCAGACUAGAGUGUGGUAGGGGAGAUCGGAAUUCCUGGUGUAGCGGUGAAAUGCGCAGAUAUCAGGAGGAACACCGGUGGCGAAGGCGGAUCUCUGGGCCAUUACUGACGCUGAGGAGCGAAAGCGUGGGGAGCGAACAGGAUUAGAUACCCUGGUAGUCCACGCCGUAAACGGUGGGAACUAGGUGUUGGCGACAUUCCACGUCGUCGGUGCCGCAGCUAACGCAUUAAGUUCCCCGCCUGGGGAGUACGGCCGCAAGGCUAAAACUCAAAGGAAUUGACGGGGGCCCGCACAAGCAGCGGAGCAUGUGGCUUAAUUCGACGCAACGCGAAGAACCUUACCAAGGCUUGACAUACACCGGAAACGGCCAGAGAUGGUCGCCCCCUUGUGGUCGGUGUACAGGUGGUGCAUGGCUGUCGUCAGCUCGUGUCGUGAGAUGUUGGGUUAAGUCCCGCAACGAGCGCAACCCUUGUUCUGUGUUGCCAGCAUGCCCUUCGGGGUGAUGGGGACUCACAGGAGACUGCCGGGGUCAACUCGGAGGAAGGUGGGGACGACGUCAAGUCAUCAUGCCCCUUAUGUCUUGGGCUGCACACGUGCUACAAUGGCCGGUACAAAGAGCUGCGAAACCGUGAGGUGGAGCGAAUCUCAAAAAGCCGGUCUCAGUUCGGAUUGGGGUCUGCAACUCGACCCCAUGAAGUCGGAGUUGCUAGUAAUCGCAGAUCAGCAUUGCUGCGGUGAAUACGUUCCCGGGCCUUGUACACACCGCCCGUCACGUCACGAAAGUCGGUAACACCCGAAGCCGGUGGCCCAACCC
Molecule: ribosomal RNA, 1053 nt
Filed under: Streptomyces sp.
Lineage: Bacteria; Bacillati; Actinomycetota; Actinomycetes; Kitasatosporales; Streptomycetaceae
Description: bacterial SSU rRNA
Rfam family: Bacterial small subunit ribosomal RNA
Source: RNAcentral